GGGCUGGGGCUCAAUGGUAGAGUGCUCGCCUAGCAUGCAUGAGGUACUGGAUUCGAUCCUCAGCAGUACA
RNAcentral lists this transfer RNA (70 nucleotides) under Marmota monax (woodchuck). Its description in RNAcentral is "tRNA.Ala". Lineage: Eukaryota; Metazoa; Chordata; Mammalia; Rodentia; Sciuridae. The record is from RNAcentral.